CAGCCGCCGCGGGAAUACGAAGGGGGCUAGCGUUGCUCGGAAUGACUGGGCGUAAAGGGCGCGUAGGCGGUUUGUACAGUUGGAUGUGAAAUUCCUGGGCUUAACCUGGGGGCUGCAUUCAAUACGUGCGGGCUUGAGUGUGGAAGAGGGUUGUGGAAUUCCCAGUGUAGAGGUGAAAUUCGUAGAUAUUGGGAAGAACACCGGUGGCGAGGGCGGCAACCUGGUCCAUUACUGACGCUGAGGCGCGAAAGCGUGGGGAGCAAACAGGAUUAGAUACCCGUGUAGUCCCUGUCUCUUAUAC
RNAcentral lists this ribosomal RNA (301 nucleotides) under uncultured bacterium. Its description in RNAcentral is "partial 16S ribosomal RNA". It matches the Rfam family "Bacterial small subunit ribosomal RNA", at positions 509 to 807 of the family's 1533-position model. The record is from RNAcentral.